UACAGAGGUCCCGAGCGUUGUUCGGAUUCACUGGGCGUAAAGGGUGCGUAGGUGGUGAGGUAAGUCGGAUGUGAAAUCUCCGGGCUCAACCCGGAAAUGGCAUUGGAAACUACCUUGCUUGAGGUUUUGAGGGGGGACUGGAAUUCUCGGUGUAGCAGUGAAAUGCGCAGAUAUCUGGAGGAACACCGGUGGCGAAGGCGGCAUCCUGGACCGGUAUUGACGCUGAGGCGCGAAAGCCAGGGGAGCAAACGGG
Molecule: ribosomal RNA, 253 nt
Filed under: uncultured bacterium
Lineage: Bacteria
Description: partial 16S ribosomal RNA
Rfam family: Bacterial small subunit ribosomal RNA
Source: RNAcentral